UAGCUGGCCUCUCCCCACCUUC
RNAcentral lists this microRNA (22 nucleotides) under Mus musculus (house mouse). RNAcentral's name for it is "mmu-miR-7085-3p". Lineage: Eukaryota; Metazoa; Chordata; Mammalia; Rodentia; Muridae. The record is from miRBase by way of RNAcentral.